CUAUGAGCUUAACCUAAACUUUUUCUUCUGCCCAUCUCUACUCUGAACUUCACCUCUUUUUAUACUGGACUUCAUUUUAUUUUACGCUGAGCUUUCUAUAUUUUACUGGAUCUCCUAAAGCCUACUGGGUUCAUAUUGCAUUAUCCUGAAAACGUGCCGACGGAAUGGACAGAGGUCGUUGGAUCACUAGGAAUGAUUGACGGAACCUCGCACGUGGAGGGACAAUCUCGCUUUUAGUACAAUACUUUGUACGCCUCGACUCACAGGCCUAAUAUGAUCUUUUCAUCUCUGUAGUAUUUACUAUUUAG
RNAcentral lists this long non-coding RNA (308 nucleotides) under Ananas comosus (pineapple). Its description in RNAcentral is "long non-coding RNA (ACOM_LNC012464)". The record is from RNAcentral. Lineage: Eukaryota; Viridiplantae; Streptophyta; Magnoliopsida; Poales; Bromeliaceae.